Molecule: non-coding RNA, 75 nt
Organism: Otolemur garnettii (small-eared galago)
Lineage: Eukaryota; Metazoa; Chordata; Mammalia; Primates; Galagidae
Source: Rfam
GCGCCUGUGGCUCAAAGGAGUGGGGCCCUGGCCUCAUACGCCAGAGGUGGCGGGUUCAAACCCAGCCCUGGGCCA